RNAcentral lists this non-coding RNA (206 nucleotides) under Nicotiana attenuata. Its description in RNAcentral is "rRNA SSU_rRNA_eukarya". It matches the Rfam family "Eukaryotic small subunit ribosomal RNA", at positions 106 to 310 of the family's 1831-position model. The record is from Rfam by way of RNAcentral. Lineage: Eukaryota; Viridiplantae; Streptophyta; Magnoliopsida; Solanales; Solanaceae.
UCAGUUAUAGUUUGUUUGAUGGUAUCUAUAAUUCGGAUAACCGUAGUAAUUCUAGAGCUAAUACUUGCAACAAACCGCGACUUUUGGAAGGGAUGCAUUUAUUAGAUAAAAGGUCGACGCGGGCUCUGCCCGUUACUGCGAUGAUUCAUGAUAACUCGACGGAUCGCACGGGCAUCGUGCCGGCGAUGCAUCAUUCAAAUUUCUGC